CCUACGGGGGCAGCAGUGGGGAAUAUUGGACAAUGGGGGCAACCCUGAUCCAGCCAUGCCGCGUGUGUGAAGAAGGCCCUCGGGUUGUAAAGCACUUUCAGUGAGGAAGAACGCCUGGUGGUUAAUACCCAUCAGGAAAGACAUCACUCACAGAAGAAGCACCGGCUAACUCCGUGCCAGCAGCCGCGGUAAUACGGAGGGUGCGAGCGUUAAUCGGAAUUACUGGGCGUAAAGCGCGCGUAGGUGGCUUGAUAAGCCGGUUGUGAAAGCCCCGGGCUCAACCUGGGAACGGCAUCCGGAACUGUCAAGCUAGAGUGCAGGAGAGGAAGGUAGAAUUCCCGGUGUAGCGGUGAAAUGCGUAGAGAUCGGGAGGAAUACCAGUGGCGAAGGCGGCCUUCUGGACUGACACUGACACUGAGGUGCGAAAGCGUGGGUAGCAAACAGGAUUAGAUACCCUAGUAGUC
Molecule: ribosomal RNA, 464 nt
Filed under: Vreelandella stevensii
Lineage: Bacteria; Pseudomonadati; Pseudomonadota; Gammaproteobacteria; Oceanospirillales; Halomonadaceae
Description: partial 16S ribosomal RNA
Rfam family: Bacterial small subunit ribosomal RNA
Source: RNAcentral